Molecule: long non-coding RNA, 18865 nt
Filed under: Citrus maxima (pomelo)
Lineage: Eukaryota; Viridiplantae; Streptophyta; Magnoliopsida; Sapindales; Rutaceae
Description: long non-coding RNA (CMAX_LNC001109)
Source: RNAcentral
UUGGCACUCUCUGCAUAUUAAUUGUGGUGGAAAUGAAGCAAAAAUAAAUGGCAGCACAUUUGAAGGAGAUGGACAAAUUGGUGGUGGUGCUGCAACGUUCCAUUUACAAGAUGAUACUAACUGGGGUUUUAGUAGCACUGGAGACUUCUCUGAUGAUAAUGAUGACCAAAACACCCGUUACAUUGCAACUUCUGACUCAUCAGGCCUUUCUGAACUAUACAUUAAUGCACGCAUUGCUCCUCUUUCAGUUACGUAUUUUGGAUAUUGUUUAGACAAUGGGAAUUAUACAUUGAGUCUACACUUUGCGGAGAUCCAGUUCAGUAAUGGAAUUACAUUUCGCAGCCUGGGAAGGCGUUUGUUUGAUAUUUAUAUUCAGGUAAUUAAUUAAAAUUAAGAAAUAGAUUUUCAUUGGACGCAUUUCUCUCCGUGAGUUCUUGGGAGACAGACAUGCUAUUGAGUAAUAUGAUGGAUGAUUCUCAAAAUGUUUCUCUGGAUUUUCUUGUUUCAGGACAAUUUAGUUGAGAGGAAUUUCGAUAUAAAAGCUGAGGCUUCUGGGGUUCUUAAGCCAGUUGCAAGAUCCUAUGAUGUCACUGUUACAAAUCACAUUAUAGAGAUCCGUUUCCAUUGGGCUGGCAAAGGGACUACCGCACUUCCUAAAAGGGGAAUCUAUGGCCCCCUAGUAUCAGCUAUUUCAUUGAAUGACCCCAGUGAGUACUUUUCAUCUCUUAUUCUGUUUCUAAAAUGCUUUUAAAAUCGACUAACAUUAUAAUACGUUCCGAAGUCCUGAUUUUUAGUAAUACAAGUUCAAAUGUUUUUGUUUGAAGUUUAACUCUUUACGGCCAUUGCCAUUGUACAUUAGAAAACAACCAAAAUUCAGAUAUCUAGUUUGUUUCCAGCCAUUUUCUUAUGUAUCCAUUUACGUAACAGGAAAAAGAAAAUCCCCAUUAGUUAUUCAGCCUAUUCAAUGUAGUUCUGAAUUUUUUUCAUGGCCACACAUUUCUGUAAGGCAUUUGUUCCAUGUUUUCACAUGCUUCUGAUAAUCAAAACUGCUUCAUGGAUUCUCAUCGGCAGAGUUCAAACCUGAGAAGAAGAAGGUAGUACCGAUUGUUGUUGGAGUAGUUGCAGGAUUAUCUCUCAUAAUCUUGGUGGUCAGUAUCCUCGGUUGGAGAUACUAUUUGAGAACCAAGAGGCGCAAAGAGACAGGUGUGCGCUUCUUUUAGAUAAAAAUUUAAAAAUGCUUCAAUUUGCUACUCAACAUUUAUUCACAUUCAUUUUCUUUUUCAUUAGAAUAAUCAAAAUAGUAGUUUUAUAACAGCAUUAAUUUUAGUUCUAGACAGCAUUUAUGUAAGCAUUUGAAGACAUUUGGGUUCAAACUACAUGCUGAUGCUAAUUUUGUUUAAUGAACCCGGAAACUCAUCUAAAGGCUAAAGCACACUUGUCUCAUCUAAAGGCUAAAGCACACUUGUCUCUCUUUAUUUGGACAGGUUUUAUGAAAGAGUCGGAUCUCCAAACAAUUUCUUUUACCUUAAAGCAAAUUAAAGUUGCAACUAACAAUUUUGAUUCUGCAAAGAAGAUUGGAGAAGGUGGAUUUGGACCUGUGUACAAGGUAUAUUGGCCAACCUUUUGCCCCUAAUCAUCCUCUUAACACAAAAUUUCCUUCAAUGGUUACUUAAAAUUUGUACAUUUCUUUUUUCAUAACUGGGAUGCAGGGUCAACUAGCAGAUGGUACUAUAAUUGCUGUGAAGCAGCUCUCUUCAAAAUCAAGGCAGGGGAAUCGUGAAUUCUUAAAUGAGAUAGCCAUGAUUUCGUGCUUGCAACACCCAAAUCUUGUUAAAAUUCAUGGCUGUUGUGUUGAAGGGGAUCAACUCUUGCUAGUAUACGAAUACAUGGAAAACAACAGCCUUGCCCGUGCUUUGUUUGGUAAGUUUAGUCUAGUAAAACAAGAAGAAAAUGUUACAUACAGGUAUAUUAUGUUUCAUUUUCUGUAGGGAUGUUUCUGAUUGGAUUUGGAAUGGUAAUUGUAUUUUUAAGGUCGUGAAAACUGUGAACUGGAAUUGGACUGGCCGACCAGGCAGAAGAUCUGUCUUGGCAUAGCCAGGGGGUUAGCUUUUCUUCAUGAAGAAUCAAGAUUCAAAAUUGUUCACAGAGACAUCAAAGCUACAAAUGUUCUGCUAGAUAGGGAUUUAAACCCCAAAAUAUCAGAUUUUGGACUAGCUAAGCUUGAUGAGGAGGAUAAAACCCACAUCAGCACUCGCAUUGCUGGAACCAUGUAAGCCUCAUUUCAUGUCUCUCAUUUAAAACUGAUAAUUUUGUUAUUGUUUCAGUGUAAUACAAAAUUGAUAAUUUUGACUUCAGAGGAUACAUGGCACCAGAAUAUGCACUCUGGGGCUAUUUGACCUACAAAGCAGAUGUUUACAGUUUUGGGAUCGUGGCCUUGGAAAUUGUUAGUGGGAAAAAUAAUAUGAGUUAUGCUUCAGCUCUGGAGUUCGACUGCACUUGUCUUCUCGAUUGGGUCAGCAACUAACUCAUAUAAUUCACCUUCUGCAUUUUCAUUUCUGUGGUUGUUGUGUCUUCUCUAAUGCUAUGUUUUGGUUUGGGUAGGCCUGUCAUCUUCAGCUAGAUGGAAAGUUAGUGGAGCUAGUGGAUGAAAGGCUAGGAUCAAAAUACAACAAGGAAGAAGUAGAAAGGAUGAUCAAAGUAUCUCUUUUGUGCACAAAUGCUUCGCCAUCACUAAGGCCAACAAUGUCAGAAGUGGUAAACAUGCUGGAAGGAAAAACUGCCAUACCAGAUAUGAUACCAGAAGCUGGAAGUUAUAGUCAAGAUUUGAGGUUCAAAGCCUUGAGAGACCAAAAGGGGCUGAGGCGUAGUCAGAAUUCGACAGCAACUCAGUCCCAGCAUUCAAUAUCAGCUGAGUUCUAUCAGGCCUCUUCCUCUACUUCUGCUGCCCAAGAUCUCUAUGAAAUUAAUGAGGAGUCAUAUAAGAAGUAUAAAGUCAUUAGAGACGGUUAUAAGCUGAUCCAAGGAAUGAAUUCAGAGGUUCAGCUUUCGACGACUAUGCCCUCAUGAACCGCCUAUGAUCUUUACAACCAUAAUUCAUCGAGUUCCUAGAAACAUACAUCAUUUUUGGUGUUGUCAAUUCCGCAGUUCCUUUUUCAUUUUUUGAAAAUAUGUGUGUAUAUACACAUGUAUAUUAUUGUGCAUUUUGUUACAUUGGUGACUGUAAGAUUACAAACUAACUAUACAUUUGGAGUCCACAAAACAAAUGUGAAAAGAACAAAUUUGAUGAUUGCUGGCUUCCUCAAUAAUUUUAGAGGCGCACGCAACCAUUUCCAAUCUGAUUGGCCCUAGCUGACUGCCAUGUCUAGCCGCUCGCAUCCGUCCUGCUUUGGAAAAACAGCAGCGAUGAAUGUAUAAAAAUUAGUUAAAAAAUAGCACAUCACUAUUAAAAGAUAAAAGGCAUUCACUGCAAAAUAAAAAAAAUUCUGUUACAAGAUAUGUUUAAUCUUCACUUUUCAACAUUUUGACUAAAGAAAUAUUGGAUGUGCGUGCAUACAGCAUAUUUUAUUUAUGGAGCUGCAUUGUAUUUUAACCUUUUCUACUGUGUAAAACAAAAAGUAAGGAUAAAGUAAAAGAGAACAAUUGGAUGACGUUGGCUGCUAGAGGCAAAAAGAGAGCUGCUCUGCUGAAGGCAUAUUUUGUGUACAAACUUGAAUACGGAUUCCUAUUUUGGGUUUUGCGAAAAUGUUCUUCUUCUUCAAACGUUUUCCACUUCUUGUGCUGGUUAUGAGUUGCUUUUGGGCUCAAAUUUUUGCUGCUGCUAAACUGCCUCGAGAUGAAGGUAAGCUCAAUUUUUUGCGAUUUUAGUACAGAUUUUCAUUUUUACCAAGUAGGAUCUACUUCGAUUAGUAGGUUUUGAUUGUGUUGGCAGUUGGUUUGAUCCUAUCUCUGAAUAAUUACUUUAUCAAGAUAGUAAAAACCCAGAAUCUCAAAUAUUCUUUUAAAAGCAUUAUUAACAGUUUUUUUUUUAACUUUUAAAUUUUCUGAUGAUGAUGAUGAAAUGCAGUUGAUGUUCUCAAUCAGAUAGCUCAAACAAUGGGAGCCACUAACUGGACUUUCGGUUCUGAUGCUUGUGAAGAUCACGUCACUAUAAAGCAGAUUUUAUUAACAGAUCCUUUGAGAAACAUCACUUGCAACUGCCAAUUUCAGAAUGAAACCUGCCACAUUAUUGCCAUGUAAGUUAGUUGCCUUGAUUCUCUCGUGAACAUGUUCUUCCUUGAAAGUUAAUUCCAGAAUUUAUUCUAAAGAUAUCUUCUGCAAAUCACAAGUUUUUGUAGCAUUCUUUCAAAGAGGAAUCUUGGUCACGCUGUGUCAAUUUUUAAUAUAGUAAAAAAAAGUCUGAACAUUGCUAUUGCCCAUUAAUGGAGUGUGAAAAGUGCUUUUUUUGCGAAAAGGAAAUUUCUUUUCCCAUAAAAUAAUCUGGGUUUGCUUUACUUUUUCAGGAAAUUCAUGCUUUUCAGCCUUCCAGGAACUCUUCCACCUCAAAUUGUCAAUCUUCCUUACCUCGAAACUGUGUAAGAUUGUACACAACUUUCAUCAAUGCAUAUAUAUGGUAAUUUUAUUGUUCGCUAAUUUUUUAUGCAUUUGGGAUUGAUACCCAAUUUUCUUGAGAGGGUUUCUGUGAAUGCUUGUGAAAGAACUUUAAAAGCAGUUGCUGAUGCUUCUCCAUAAAGCAUUUCCAGUACAUUUUUGACCCUCAAAGAAUUUUCUAGAAAUCAUCUACAAGUGCUUCCUCAGAAGGAAUUUUGCAUUUUUGUUUAUUUUUAGACUAAUGCUACCAAAAAAUAGAUCCAUGCAAAAAUGUAACUAAAUGCACCCCUAUUAGUCUACUGCAUUAUGAAUAUCUUCGUUUCCUUCUUUCUUUUACAGACCAAUUUGUAAAUUUGAUUGAUAUUGUUGUGGAAUGCAGUGAUUUUGCUUACAACUAUCUGCAUGGUUCGAUACCACGUGAAUGGGCCUCGAUGCAACUGAAGUAUAUGUAAGCUAUAUCUACAUCUUUCAAUCGGUCGAGAAAAUAAAAUUUUGUUUGUCUCACUGAAUUAACCAUAUUGGAAUUGUCCAUGCAGCUCUGUUUUUGCAAACCAAUUGUCAGGCAAUAUUCCAAGCCAUUUGGGGAACAUUACUAGUCUCACAUACUUGUAAGCUUUGAAAACUCAUCAUGACUACAAUAUCCAGUUGAUGGACUUGCAGAAAUGAACUGAUCAUAGUUUUUCAUUAUUUUAAAUUUUAUGAAUUUUCCAAUUAUUUUUUAUUUCUUUGACCGAGAGAACAAAAUUCUUGUUAAAAUUCUUGUUUCUUCAAGGAGAUAAACUAGAAGUCUUAUGCUUAAUUAUUCCUCAGAAUAUUUUCUUUGUGCAUGUGUAUGUGCAAAUUUGCAGGUAAGAGUCCUUUAAGUUUUUAUAUCAAUAUGUUCUGCGAUUAUUAGAAAUCUCAAUGGAUCUGUUUACCAGGGACCUUGAAGAAAACCAAUUUUCAGGAACAAUACCUCGAGAGCUUGGGAAUUUAGUUAACUUGGAAACCUUGUAAGGCAUUUAUGGGGUUUCUUUACGUUCAGUUUUCGUCCGUUAUCAGCAUAUUCAUCGGAGGAUAAUCUACAUUUUAUUGCAGGAGACUAUCAUCCAAUAGAUUGAUUGGAAAUUUACCAAUGGAACUUGUGAAGCUGAAAAAUUUAACGGACUUGUAAGCUUUUCAAAAGUUUAUUCUGAGGAUAUUCUGAAAUUUGGCAGAAAGUGUAAGCCAUAAUUCAUUCUUGUUCUUGUUGGACAAUGCAGUAGGAUUAAUGAUAACAACUUCAAUGGGAGUGUGCCAGAUUUUAUACAAAGCUGGACACAACUUAACAGACUGUAGGCUCUUCGACAUGCCAAAAAUUGUUCAAGUUACUGUCAGGCCCUUGAAAUAUUAUUGAUUGCUUUACUUAACUUAAUGCAGAGAAAUUCAAGGUAGUGGACUUGAAGGACCCAUUCCGCCAUCAAUCUCUGCUUUGGAUAAGCUAAAUCAAUUGUCAGUGAAAAUUUAAUAAGUAUUCUUUUACAAUAAUUCAAAUGAUUUAAUACUUUCAUUGUCAUAUUAGUUUAGCAUAUUGAAUAUUGCUGAAAAGAUAUGUUAAUGACGAUACUUAUAUGAACAGGAGGAUUAGUGACUUGCAAGGAACGAAUCAGACUUUUCCGAUGCUUAGAAACAUGACAGGCCUUACACGGAUGUAUGACUCUUCAUUUUUAUCACAUUAAUGGAGUUUAUUCACCUCAAAAUUGCUUCAUCUGAUUUGAUUGUUGAUGGAUUUCCAGAAUUUUGAGGAACUGUAAUAUAGCUGGAGAGAUACCUGAAUAUAUAUGGGGAAUAAAAAAUCUUCGGUUUCUGUAAGUAUGUUACUUACUUACUUAUCGAUUACCUAUGUUCUAUUGUGCAGAUCAUCAUAUGUAGUUAGAGUCUCUAAUUAGCACACGUGUAAAUUUUUGUUCUCUUUUUUUUUUUUUUACUCAACUUUUGGCUUUUAUAGGGAUCUCAGCUUUAACCAGCUCACCGGGGAACUUCCCGAUGUUGCAGUCCCAGCCGAUUUGAAAUUCACGCAAGUUUCUGAAACAAAAGUUUUAAUUUUACUAUUUUAAUUUUCAAAUGUCCAGAUACUAACUGCUUGAUCUGGCCUUUAUCAGCUUUCUUACUGGCAAUUCUAUCCAAGGGAAUGUACCGGAGUCAAUCCUGAAGAAAGGAACUAAUGUGUGUGUACCUUCUCUCUUGGAUUUUAGAUUCUUAUGUUUAUCAGAGGAGUUUAUGAGCAUCAAUCCUUGUAACGUGCAUUUGUUAUCCAUCGUUAAGCUCUAUAAAUUUGUUAAUCUGUUAAUUUACUAUUGUUGAAAAUGAGUUUGCUGGAGGCAUAUGAACAAGUCGUUACGUUAGGCUUUUUGGAGCACAUCACAUAUCAGAACUAGCACAUAUUAGAAACAAAUCAAUUUUGAGGUUUAGCUUUUUCAUUUGACGAGGAUAGCAGUGAGGGUGUUGUGUCAAACACAAAGACAUUCUCUUGUAUCUUUCAAUUGCUUCAUCAUUUUAAAUUAAAUUUCCAUCUACACUGAAACGAUCGUUGUUUCUUUCUUGCAUGCAGGGACCUUUCUUACAAUAAUUUCACUUGGCAGAGUCCUGAGCAGCCUGCUUGCCGUGAGAAACCGUCAGUAUAUUUCUCUUAAGUGAAUAAUUAUCUGAUUCUGUUUACUUCUAUGUAUAUCCUGUAAUGGAUCCAAGUCCUGAUAGAUGUAUCAUUUUUCACUAGGAAUCUAAAUCUGAACUUGUUCCGGAGUUCUUCAGUGGAAAAUGACUUGUAAGUUCCCUUUUUCUUUCCUAUUAUACCAGCUUAAGUUUCAGUGGUAAUUCCUUGAAAAAAAAAAAAAAAAGUUACAGAAGUAAUUACCUCUACAUGAAGAAUUUUGCGCAUAUAGCUGGUCAUUCUAUCAUUAAAUCUUCAUUUCUUUUUUGAUGGUGCCAUUUGCUUUUCAAUGAAAGCAAGAAAUCUUCUCAUGACAGCCAUUUCUUACUCUACUGUUGUUGACUUCACUUGGCAACGAUAUGGAGCUAAUCUGUUUUGUUUACAUUUUUUCUUGACUAAAACCAGACGUGGAGUUUUUCCAUGUGCAAACAAUUUCACAUGUCAUCGAUGUAAGUAUCAUUCGGAUUUGAUGUUGUUAGAAUUCUCUUUGUAUUAGAAUUUCUUCGAUAUUCUCUUCACAUUUAUUGACUCCUGGAAUCACAAUUCUUUGUCAUGUUCUUUACUAAUUCAAUCAUAAGUCUUGUUAUCACGUACCUAAGUGCUUUAUCUGAAGUACUUAAAGGCAAGGUGAAGUAAUCUAGUUGAUCCCUAGAAUUGAUGAUAAUACAAUUACGUUUGCCGAUCACUCACAAGUUCCCCAACCCCCAACAAAAUAAAUAAUAAAUAAAAAAACUGACCAUAUGAGCUUGUUUUCCUUUUAAUGUUUUCAAAUGGAUUAACAGUAUGUGAAAAGGUCUUUGCUGCUUUAGUAUUUCACAUUGUUUUCUCUUCACAGAUUGGCACUCUUUGCACAUUAAUUGUGGUGGAGGUAAUGUAAAAGUAAAUGACAGCACAUUCGAAGGAGAUGCAGGAGUUGGUGGUGGUGCUGCAACAUACCAUUUACUGGAUGGUACUAACUGGGGAAUCAGUAGCACAGGAGAUUUCACAGAUGAUGAUGAUGAGCAAAAUACUAAUUAUAUUGCAAAUUCACAGUCAUCAGGGAUUUCUGAAUUGUACAUUGAUGCACGUAUUUCUCCUCUUUCGCUUACUUAUAUUGGAUAUUGUUUAGAAAAUGGGAAUUAUUCAGUGGCUCUACACUUUGCGGAGAUCCAAUUCACAAAUGACAAAACAUAUAAAACCCUUGGCAGGCGCAUAUUUGAUAUUUAUAUCCAGGUACUUUAUGACAAUCAAGAAAUAUAUUUUCAUCAAAGUCAACUCAGGCUGUGAUGCCUGAGAAUCAGAUGAUGGGUUGUGGGCUUGUAUAUUUUAAUGUUGUGCCAGAUGUGUUCCAUUCAAAAUGUACCAUCUUGUGAGAUGUCUCUAGUUGUGUGAUAUGCUUAAAGCUAUUCUUGAGAGCCCAUUUUCUUGGUCACUUGGUCAUAUGGAGUUUGUUUCUUUCAGGAUAACAAAUACAAAUUUUGUUGGUUUGCUAUGUUGCAGGACAAAUUAGUUGAGAACGAUUUUAACAUUGAAGCUGAAGCUCAUGGAGUUCUUAAGCCAGUCACGAGACCAUUCACUGCCAAUGUUUCCAAUCACAUUUUAGAGAUUCGCUUCCAAUGGGCUGGCAAAGGCACUACCGCAAUUCCUAGUGGUGGAGUUUAUGGGCCUCUUAUAUCAGCUAUUUCUGUGGAUCCCAGUGAGUGAUUUUCUUUUCCUCUUCUUCCAUGUCCCAUGUCGGGCUAACAAUGUGACAUGUUGUACAAUCAUUUUGAGAAUAAAAGUUCAAGUGCUCCAGUAGUGUGAAAUCUAAGAACUGUAAGCCACAGCACCUAUGGUAGAAAACCAUUUGAAAAUUUAAAGCAAACAUCUAACUAAUCGAUAUAGUCUUGAAUACUCACAGUCAUUCUUUCUUCCUAUGUUUGUGUAUAUGUUUCUGAUUAUCAUAAUUUCUUGGCUUAUGCUUUCUGGCAGACUUCAAACCCCUUUAUGGGGCAGGAAAAAAGAAGAUUGCACCAAUUGUUGCUGGCGCUAUUAUAGGAUCAUGUCUCGUUAUCUUGGUGUUGGGUAUCUUCUGUUGGAGGCACUAUUUUAGAACCAAGAGUGGAAGACAAGAAGGUUUGGAAUCUUUCAAAUAGAUAAGUAACUGCUUUGGGAAGAGAGAACUGAAACUAAAACAAUCAUAACAAAACCUUGUGGCUGGAGGAUAUUUAUCCAUUGAAAAUGUUUUUUCAGCUGGUCUAUGGUUCUUUUACAAAGCUUAUACACUAAAAAUCAGGCAACUUUUUAAAACUGUACUUCUCUUUCAUUUGAACAGAUCUUGAAGGACUAGAAUUCCAAGCCAGUUCUUUUACCUUAAAGCAAAUAAGAGCUGCCACUAGCAAUUUUGAUCCCAUGAACAAGAUUGGUGAAGGUGGAUUUGGACCUGUUUACAAGGUAAACACUCAAACCUUUGUUCAUCGUGAUUAUUCUUUUGUAUACAGGACUUCUUUAAUGGUUCUUCUUGAUACAUACAUACAUGCAGGGUCAGUUAACUGAUGGUACUAUAAUUGCCGUGAAGCUACUGUCUUCGAAAUCAAGACAAGGAAAUCGUGAAUUCUUGAAUGAGAUAGGCACUAUUUCGUGCUUGCAACACCCAAAUCUUGUGAAACUUUAUGGCUGUUGCAUUGAAGGGGAUCAACUCAUGCUGGUAUAUGAAUACUUGGAAAACAACAGCCUUGCCCAUGCUUUAUUUGGUAAGUGUAAUCUAUUGAUGAUUUCUUGAUUGAUUAUAUGAGAGGAAAAUAAAAUAGUAACUUAGAAACACUUUACAAGUUUAUAACAAUCUAUUAUUCUCCCUAGUAAUAUUUCUUGGAAUGGUCAUGUUAAGGUGGUGAAAGCAGUCAACUGAAAUUGAACUGGUCAGUGAGGCAGAAGAUCUGCCUUGGGAUAGCCAGAGGUUUAGCUUUUCUACAUGAAGAAUCCAGAUUCAAAAUAGUUCAUAGAGACAUCAAAGCUACGAAUGUUCUGCUAGAUAGAGAUUUAAACCCCAAAAUAUCUGACUUUGGAUUGGCUAAGCUUGAUGAGGAGGAGAAAACUCACAUCAGUACUCGAGUCGCUGGAACAAUGUAAGCUACAUGUCUCUCUUUUCAAUGACAUUUUGUCACUGUUUUAACAUCAAAACUCAUGAUAAUUUUAUAUGCAGAGGAUAUAUGGCACCAGAGUACGCUCUAUGGGGUUACUUGACCUACAAAGCAGAUGUUUACAGUUUCGGAGUUGUGGCUUUGGAAAUCGUCAGUGGGAAGAAUAAUAUGAGUUAUGUGCCAGACAGUAAUUGCACCUGUCCUCUUGACUGGGUACGAGAUUAACUAAAUUUUUAUUCUUUAGUAGCACAUUUAACUCCAUUUUAGUGGGGACAUGUUUGUUUGUUUGUUAUUUAUUUAUUUGGGACAACGGUUAUGGCAUGAGUUUAAAUCCAAUAAAUGUAGAAUUUUUAACAUAAUUGUCUCGGUUAUGUAUUUCCCAGGCCUUCCAUUUACACCGAAGUGGUACGUUAAUGGAGUUAGUGGAUCCAAGGCUCGGAUCAGAAUUCAACAAGGUUGAAGCAGAGAGAAUGAUUAAAAUAGCACUCUUAUGCACCAAUGCGUCGCCUUCACUAAGGCCAACCAUGUCUGAAGUGGUAAGCAUGCUGGAAGGAUCUUCUAACAUUCCGGAUGUAAUCCCUGAAGCCGGUGGUUUGAGUGAAGACUUGAGGUUUAAAACUCUAAGAGACCAUCCAAGAGAAAUGAAUAGUUCGGGUUUGGAAGGAAGUCUGUCUCAUUAUUCAUCGUCAGCCAGCUUCUUGCCUGGUUCUUCCUCUACCGAUGAUGUCCGUGAAAUUAACGCAGAGGCAUAUUUGAAGUUUAAGGCCGUGAGAGACAGUCAUAUUCAUAUGGAAAGACAAAGAUCGGUUGCCCAAGUAUCAACACCAGUCCCCUCAUGGACUGGCUCUUCAAAAUCUGCCCAUGAUCUUCACAACACAAUUUGAGUCCCGCGGAUGUGCAAAAUCAUCCGCAAGCUAGUUUCAAGUUUCAACAUUCAACUUGUUUGUAACCUACGUCUAUGUGUCAUACCUUCUCGCAUCAUCUUUGUAUCUAAAAUUUUCAGCGACUCAACCUCGGAAACAAGCGAGUCAACAACUCGUUCUUCGUUCUCAGUAGUCACCGUCGACUCCUCCUCCUUCUCUUCGCUAACACCACUUCCGAGAUGGACUGAGUCAACUCGGUCCUUGAUAAUGGCCUCAGAUUUUAUCAAAUUAGUUUCUUUUUCUCUCUGAUUUCGAGAAAGUUUGUACCUUUUCUCUCCGGAGUUAUUAAUAUCAGUUCGGCGGUUGGGGAUAGAACGGCAUCGUAGAGUGGAGGUGGUUUCUUUGUAUUCUGACGUGGAUUGAUCUGAUUGGUCGGCGGGAAUGCAGUCGUAAGAGGGAAAAUCGUCGAGCGUAUCAAAGAAUUCGUCGUCCUCAUCGUUGGUUUUAUUCCGUUCGUCCAUGCAGCAACCAGAGACUAGGGUUUCAGUUUCCGGUAAUCGCUUAUCAGGAUCGAAUUUGCUUGCAAUUCACCGUGUUUGCAGCCUUCGUGUCAUCCUUUUUUUUUUUCGGUUCGGUUAAUAACAUUUGCAUCCCUAAUUUUUAACCAUUUCUCAUGAAUAUAUAUAUUUUUUUCUUUUUAGCUCAAAAUGUCGUAUAUUCUUUCUAACACAUUAAACUUUUUUCUUUUCAAUUUUUUUUUAAAUAGCCUUUGCAAUAUUCAACUUUACCAUUAGUAAUUGUUUGUGACUUAGAGGCCUUAUGCUUCUUUUGAUUUACUGACUUAAUUAACUUAAUUUUAAUCAAUUAAGGUAUUAAGUCUUUUUAUUUUUAAUUUAAUGAAAAUUUUUAAGUCAAUUCUUUUUUACUUUUUACUUAAUCUAAAGAUUAAAAAGUCUGGAUAUUAUCAUUAAAAGAUAUUCUCCAAAAUAUCUCUAUUUAAUUUAUUGAUUUUUAUCCUUACCUAAAUUAAAUUUUAAUAAUUAACAUUAUUACACGUUUCUAUAACUUGUGAUAAUAUAAUGGCAGACUAUUAUUGUUUUUAUCUUUGUAUUUUCUUCUAGUUAGCAUUAUUUUUCUUCAUAAUUUUUAUGAAUAUUUUUCAUAUAAAAACAUCAUAAACUAUAAUGAUGUAUACUAAUUUAGAAUAUUAAUUUAUAAGUGCACAAAUGUAAAAAUAAUUGUUUUUAGAUUUUUAAGUUGAAAAAAUAACAUAAUAUUUUUUUUAGAGAUUCGAACAAAAAAUAAAUAAAUUAUUAGAUUCAAACAUUCAGCUCUAUUAAGAUUCAGACUAAUUCAAGUUUAUUUAGAUUUUUUAGAUAAAAAAAAUAAACACCACCUUAGGUUUUAAGUAUACUUUUAUUAUUUUAAUAAGAGUUUAGAUAAUUAGGCAUGUAAUACAAUAAGAACUCUUAUGACCUAUAAUGUAAGAACUCUUAUGACCUAUAAUGUGUAUAUAUAUAGUCAUUCUCUAAUGAGGCAUCUUUACUUUAAUAAAGUGAGGAUACGACUAAUAAAUAAAACACAUAUUUUAAUAUACUAAUAGAUAAGAAAUAUAAAUUUUAAUAUAUUAAAAAUUAUACUUUUUAUAUUUUAGUGGCAUCUUUAUUUUAAUAAAAUGAGAAUAUCCUAAUUUAAAAAAAGAAUAUAUAGAGAGAGAGAGAGAAUAUUGUAAGGGAGAGAGGAUUUAUGAACUAGAUAUUUUAGUUGCACUAUAUAUAUUUAUCUAAAAUCUACAAUCCUAAUAGAUUUCAAGUUGUAAUAAAUCCGAAAUCGUAAUCAUUCAAAAGAAAAAUGGUUUGGAACCUUUUUAAUACAAACGGAGAACCAAUAUCCUUUCCGUGAGAUUUGAGAAACAAUAAUAUUAAUAGCAAACAAUAAUAUUUGUCAUUUUCUGGCUACGCUAUAGGAUCCGGCGGGAAUCGCCAAUCGCCCAUCAUAUGCAAACAUUUGUUUUGCAAAUGUCUCUUUCAUCAUUGAAAUUAAAUAGUAAAUAAUUAUUUUCUUUCUUUAAUGGGAAAAAGAAAGAAGAGAAAGUUCUUUGCAUGAACAUAAAAAUCUCCAAGUCCACUAAGAAAUGUACUUACAAAAAUAAAAGUCUACUGAGAAAUGUAAAACCAAAAAUUUAUCUUCAAACUGGAGAAAAUUUUUCAAACAACCAAUAGUUAAUGCGCGUAUUUUGUGAAAGAUAGCCAAUGGGAAUGGGAGGUAACGUAAUCAAAUAAUUUAUUGAUUUAUUCAAGUCAUCAAUAUCAAAGUGAGACAUCCAUUUCCAAUUGGAAGAAAAAAACAUAUUUUAAUUACCAAACCAGCGUGGAUUUCUCUCUCUCUCUCUCUCUCUUUUUAAGGUCCAAUUAACACACUAAUCAAGUUCAGAUUGUAUAUGGACAUCCGUGACUAAUUGGUUAAUUGAUUCAUUAAACUAUAUCUCUAUAAUCUUUUCUAUUCAUAUUCCAUUCUAAUGUUGCUAUGACAUAUAUAUAUAUUUGUGUGUGUAUAAGGAAAUUUAAUUAAUUUCCUAACACAUGCAUUAUUGCAUUAAAAUAAUAGUCACUGAUGUAAAAAAAAAAUCAGAGAGCCGUGGCCAUGCUGCCUCAAUUUCGAUGGUCAAAAGCAAAAUAUUUAAAGCAGAAUCCUACAGUUUGACCAUGCAAAAAAACCAAUGAAAAUUCAAAUAUCGGGGGGUCGUAUACCAAUAGAUUCGAUAGGGACCAACAAUUCAAUUUGUGAGGGAUGUAUCUUUCGUUGACCUGUAAGGUAGAAAAAUUCAUGUCGGCGAUUAAUUAAUCAGACAUGCUGUGGAUGAGGUUUAAUAAGAAUCUUAUCAUUGGCAGCAAGUCAACCUUGUGCCGAGACAAUUUUUUAUUAAAACAAUGCACUUGGAUACAAUUCAGAAUAUGACAAAAACAAAUCUAACUUUAGUUUGACUGGUACUGCAUUCUAAAAUCGUACCAGGACGAAAGAGAAAAUCACAUCAGAAGGGUAGUUGGAAUUUUCUUAAUCGAGCUAUUUGCUUGGAAGAUUCAUCAUCCCUGCAUUUAGCAAAUAUAAAAGAAGCGCAAGAUUAUUAAAACAACGUAAUAAUAACAGCUCAUCAGAAGAUCCGUACGGUACAACAAGGAAACUGGGUAGAAUUGAAAGAUGGCUCAUAGCUCAUACCUCACGGCUAGCUUUUCUGGGUCUUCAAAGAUGUCCUUCUUGAAGCUUGACCUGUUCCUUGUCUCAAUUCUGUCUUUAAGCUGCUUAUGGACACAAGUACUUGUUUCUGCUACUCUGCCUCGAGCUGAAGGUUCGACUGAUAAAAUUUUCUUUUUAUUUUCAAUAUCCCCUUCUUCAUGAUAUCUUGUAACCAAUUGUAGCUUAUGUUUCAUUUCUCUCUCUCUCUCUCUCUCUCUUGGUAUUAGUAGUGUAUUAAUCUCAGAAAUAAAGAAUAAAACAUUGUUAAGAGCCUAAGAUGAUAAUUGAAUUGAGGGUCAGCGAUCUUACAAUGGUCAGAUUAGUGGCAUUCAUAAUAUUAUUAAAAAAAUAAAAAAAUACAAGGGAGAAUUGCGUGGGAUAUACCCCAUUUCCUUCCAAAUACCCAAUAUAUACCUAAAAUUAUAACACUCUUAAAUUUUACACAUAUAUACUCUAAAAAACUAGAGAAAGUACAAAAAUAACCACAACUAAAUCCUCAUAAAACUAAACCCAACUCCUCGAAGUCGGGUAAAUAUUCGAGAAUACUCGACUUCAACCAAACCAUACACAAUUAGUAAUUCAGCAUAAAUUCUCGACUUUUUCAUGUUAGUCGGGUAAAUAGUCGAGAAUACUCGAUUUCAAUUGAAAUAAAAAAUUAUUUGAAAAAUUUUCGAUUUUUUCAAGUAAGUCGAGUAAAGAGUCGAGAAUACCCGACUUUAAUUUAACCUUACCUAAUAUUCAUUCAGCAAAAAUUCUUGAUUUUUCAUUAAAGUUCGAUAAUUAGUUGAGAAUACUCGACUCAAAUUGAAAUAAAAAUUUUCUUUUUAAUUAAGUCAGGUAACAAGUCCAGUAUACUUGACUUUGGUUGUGUUAUUAUGUAGAAGUCAUGAGAGAGAAAGUAAACGUAAAUAGAUGGUUUUUUUAGGUUAUUUUUUACUUUUUACACUUUCACGAGGUAUAUGUUUGUAAUGGGGUAUAGAUUUAGUAUUUAAGCACAAAUGGGGGCAUAUUUAAAUAAAAAACCCAAAAUACAACUUCAAAUUUGGUGACUGGUCGAACUCAAAACUGUUAUUUUCACCAAGUUCUGAUGUUUAAUUGAGAGAUGCAUCUUUGUGUAUGUAGUUGAUGCGCUCAAUCAAAUUGCCAAAACAAUGGGAGCUAGGGACUGGACGUUUGAUGCUAAUGCUUGUGACCUGAAUGAGACACCGAUAGUGCUGGAAGAAGGUCCCACCAGGAUCAUUACUUGCAACCUUGGAAUCGAUAAUACAAGCCACAUCACUGAAAUGUAGGAUCUUUUUCUGUCAUUUUAUAAAAUUUGAAGCGGCAUAUUUUUAUUUUUCAGUCUUGUGUUUACGUUGAUGUGAAGGACCAAUUUUGGGUAUGUUUUGUUUUCCAUUUUCAGACAAUUCAAACGUUGCAACCUUUCUGGAACACUUCCACCGGAAUUGGUUCAGCUUCCUUCCAUCCAGAAAGUGUGAGUUGAACAGUCUCCAAUUUAAUGCAUUGGGAGAUUAAACUUAUAAAUAAAUUAAUCGUUUUUGUUAAUUUGCAGUGAUUUUGCCUACAACUAUCUAAAUGGUUCCAUACCAGUCGAAUGGGCUUUGUUGCAGUUGAAGUUCAUGUAAGCUAUAUCUAAUUCUCUCUAAUCAGGUUAAGCAUUUAGCAUUCUACUAGUUUCGUACAGUUAAUUGAUCGUCAAUAAUCUUAAUGCAGCUCUGUUUUUGGAAACCGGUUAUCAGGCAAUAUUCCAAGCCAUUUGACGAACAUUACCAGUCUCACGUACUUGUAAGCUCUCAAUUCUUGGUUUAUGCAAACAUAUUUAGGCCACUGAUGUAAAUGAUAACAAAUUUAUUCCAUUUGUAAUCUGAAUGGGUCUAUUUUACCAGGGACAUUGAAGCAAACCAAUUCUCAGGAACCGUACCUGAGGAGUUCAGGAAAUUAGUGAACUUGGGAACUCUGUAAGGCAUUGUCAAGCUUUUUUGUGGCUGAUAUUUGUUCAUGAUCAAUGUAAUCAUUUGGACGAUAAAUUGUCAUGGGUUACAGGAGACUAUCGUCCAAUCAGUUGAGUGGAAGUUUGCCCACGGGACUAGCUGAGCUAAAAAAUUUAACGGACUUGUAAGCUUUCUUGAUUAGUGUCAGAUCAUGCUCAAAAUUCAUCAGAGGUAUAAGCUGUACUCAUUCUUAUUGCACAUUGCAGUAGGAUCAGUGACAACAACUUCAAUGGGAGUAUACCAGAAUUUAUACAAAACUGGAAGCAACUUGACAGACUGUACGAUCAUCUACAUUACAAAGAUUUCUCAGCAUACAUUCUGGUUCUUGAUUGUUCUUGAUUGGUUAAUUUGAGUUGAUGCAGAGAAAUGCAAGGUAGUGAAUUUCAUGGACCCAUUCCAUCAUCCAUCUCUGUCUUGGAAAAGCUGACACAAUUGUGAGUAAAUAUUUCUCUACUUUUCAAUUACAAUAAUCAGAAUGAUUUAAUACAUCAAUUUAUAUGAUUAAUUUAUUAUAUUUAACGAUACUAAAAGGAUCUGUUAAUUAUGGCACUCUAACAGGAGGAUUAGUGACAUAGCUGGAAGAAAUCAUCCUUUUCCGGAUCUUAGAAAGAUGGCAGGCAUUAAAAGGAUGUAUGCUCAUUGGCUAUUUUCUAUCAUUUUGAUGGAGUAUGAUUAUUCGCCUUAUAAUUAUCUUACAGGAUUAAUGUUGGAUUUUCAGAAUUUUGAGAAACUGUGGUAUUUCUGGGGAGUUUCCUGAAUAUAUCUGGCGAAUGAAUAAUCUGCGAAUUUUGUAAGUAUGCUACAUUCUUUGUUUUCUAAUGCAGAAAUUAAAUACUUGAAAAUGAAAGCAAAAUUCACGGUUAGCAUUCAUGAAAUGUAACACCAACUAGUAAUGUAGUAUUCUUCUAUACCUUGCAGCUGCCAUAGCAGCAAUAGAGUUGAAGCAUCAGCACUUACAGGCCAGUUAAUGUAUUUACAUGGAUAAUCAUUAUCUUUUGAAUUUGGUUUGGACAGGGAUCUCAGUUUUAAUAGGCUAACCGGGAAAAUUCCCAAUGUUGCAACUCCACCGAGUUUGAAAUUCAUGUAAGUUAAUGAAAUCAACUGUCUGGAUUUACAAUGUUAAUUAUGUGAUGUCCAACUCAUUAACCACUUGAUAUGGCCUUGGUCAGCUUUCUAACUGGCAACUUUCUCAGCGGGAACAUACCAGCGUCGAUCUUGAGGAAAGGAACUAAUGUGUGUGUAUCUUAUCACCUGGAUGCCUUGAGUUUUACUUAUUUUGGUGAUUUAUGUUCAUAUAUAUUUGCAAUCUGUUGAUUUACUAUAUAGUAACCAUAUGUAACUUUGUAAUCCUGUUUCUAAAGAGACCAUAUUAAACAUCAAUUUUGUUAAAUAAAUAAUCUUAUGCAUGAAAUUUCCUUCAUUGCUUCUUUCUUGCAUGCAGGGAUCUGUCAUAUAAUAAUUUCACUCAUCAAAACCCUGAGCAGCCUGCUUGUCGGGAGAUACAGUCAGUAUAUUUCCCUCUCUAUGUUAAAUAAAUAAUCUUCUCCGCUUAUAAUAUCACUUGGUAUAUCUGAGUGCUGAUAUUUGCUUUGUCUCCCGUUAUUUCGUUAGGAAUCUAAAUCUGAACCUGUUCCGAAGUUCUUCUGGGGACAGCAAUUUGUAUGUUGCUUUUCAUGCUUUCUUAUUAUUGUAGCUUAUGUGACAGAUUUAACAACCAAUGUAUAAAGAAGUUUGCAAAUAUACAGUAAUUUUAUCAUCCAAUAAAUAAGAAGCAACGUAUAUUUUUAGAUUAGACAAUGUAAUGUCUACUAAUAUUCUUUUUUUCCUUGACUAAAACCAGAAGUGGAGUUCUUCCAUGUAGGAAUAAUUUCAAAUGCGAUCGAUGUAAGUAUACUCUACUAUCAGUAAGUCACCAUAAAAUCUAUAUCUCGAAUAUGUUGACUUUUAGAAUCACAAAUAUUUGGUAGCCUAGCUAUUAAUAAUAUCAUAUUCAAAUCAACUUCAAUUCUUCUGUUUAUUUUUUAAUUGUCAGUUCAUUUCUGGUUUCUUGAAAACUCAUUGCUCAGAUAGUCUUUAACAUUCUUUUUUCUCGGCAGAUUGGCACUCACUGCACAUUAAUUGUGGUGGAAAUGAAGUAAAAGUAAAUGGCAGCACAUUUGAAGGAGAUGGACAAAUUGGUGGUGGUGCUGCAACAUACCAUUCACAAGAUGAUACUAACUGGGGUUUUAGUAGCAGUGGAGACUUCACUGAUGAUGAUGAUGAACAAAACAGACGUUACAUUGCAACUCCUGACUCAUCAAACCUUUCUGAACUAUACAUUAAUGCACGCAUUGCUCCUCUUUCACUUACGUAUUUUGGAUAUUGUUUAGACAACGGAAAUUAUACUUUGAGUCUACACUUUGCGGAGGUCCAGUUCAGUAAUGG